This 1681-nucleotide long non-coding RNA is filed under the name Orbicella faveolata. Its description in RNAcentral is "uncharacterized LOC110041751". Lineage: Eukaryota; Metazoa; Cnidaria; Anthozoa; Scleractinia; Merulinidae. The record is from RNAcentral.
AUUUCUGGCGAUCGUUCGCAGCUCUGUAAGGUAGCUGGUAAUAUUUUCGCCUGGUUCUUGGUUUCUAUUGUUAAAACGAUAGCGCUCAUAGAUAACUUGUGUUCUGGGGGCACAAAACUGAUCGAACUUCUGCAAAACUAACUCGAUGUCAUUUUGGUCUUUUCCUUCAUUCCACGUGAAGGUGUCGUGGACGUUGACACCGUCCUCGCCAAUGAUGCUUAAUAGAGUCGAGACGCGAACAACACCUUCUUGUUUGUGCAUGCCGGUGGCGAUUUCGUAGCGUUUCCAUGCUUGUUUCCACGAUUUCCAUGUCGUGGCUAAGUUGUCGUUAAAGCUUAGCGUUUUAGGCGGCGGCAAAUUUGACAGCGGAGCAAAAAUCUGUGACAUACCUGCUUGUACUGCUUGUGCUUGUGCUUGUGCUGGAGGGUCAGCCAUCCUUAGGCAUGUGAUUAGACCGUCCCACUUCUGACACCAUGUAGCGAAAUUGAUGUGUAAUAAUGUACAACAAAGAAACAGCUUUAAGUGAUUUAUUCGCCCAGUGUUACACGCAAUGCAGGCUCCCAAAAAUACAGACGGUCCUUGUGUUUAAAUUGUUACGAAAUCAAAUAAUCAUACAAAGCAUCUGAUUGGCUGAAAUCAAACUGGUGAUCAAAAUAACAUGGGCUAGGGCACGUGCAGUAUAACGUAACGCAAUAUCUCUACAGUCAGUCUAACAUAAGAACUUGCUAUGGAGCUGCUAUAUACCUUUUAAUGUUUUGAAUUGCACUAAAGUCCAUACAGAUGUAACUUGAAUAAUUUAGAAAUUACUGUUAUGGUUUUAACCCAACCAGUUCCAAAUAUUCAUGUCAUUGGUAUCUAUCACUCAAAAACGAAAGUUACAAUUUCACAGUUAAUUCAUGCUCUUACUCAUCUUCACAACUCAGUAUUAAUAGAACCCACAAUUCUAGCUGUACUGCUUGGGGAUUUCAAUAUUGAUCUAAUACAGGCAAAUACAGAACAAUAGGCUCUAAUGAAAUAUCUUAUAACAGACAAACGAUACACUCAGUUGAUUAACCAGUAUACUACUGCAUGACUACUGUACACAGAUAGAUCAUGGACCACAAAUUAUGUGCACAAUCAGCAGGUGAACAUCAGCCUAUUUAUCUAAAAUUUAAUUUCCAUGAAAGCUGUUUGAAUAUUUGUUUAAAAAUUCAUUGUGUAUAUCAUGUGAAAUCAUCAUAGUUAAUUUAGCUGAAGAUCAAACUUUACAAACCAAAUAAAUAUCUAGAUGUAUCAAGCAACUAUUUUAAUCACAUAUAGAAAACAGUCAGGACAUUUAUUGCCAGAAACAAAUAAUGGUCUGAAUUUCCUGUGCUUUUCAUGUUCCUAAACUCCUACAGCUGUAGUCCUCAUGAGUUUCAAAAUUACAUGUAACUCUACCAGAAUUUGGAGAUGCUGUAUAUAAGGAUAAAUUUUUCAGGUAUACAUGUGUAAUUUUUCUGCAUUCAUUUUUAUACUCUUUUAAAAUAUGUGACUGUUAUCUUUAUUGUGUAUUGCAGGUGAAGCAAGUUAUACUGUUGUGCAUAUGCAAAUAACCUAGAUGAACACUGGUAACGACUACAGUAUACUUUAAUAUGAGUGACAUUGCAGGUGGUGUUGUUCAACUGAGGGACUGGACUCAAGAAUCCCUAAGUCAAAGGGG